This 253-nucleotide ribosomal RNA is filed under the name uncultured bacterium. RNAcentral describes it as "partial 16S ribosomal RNA". It matches the Rfam family "Bacterial small subunit ribosomal RNA", at positions 524 to 776 of the family's 1533-position model. The record is from RNAcentral.
UACAGAGGUCCCAAGCGUUGUUCGGAUUCACUGGGCGUAAAGGGUGCGUAGGCGGUUUGAUAAGUCUGAUGUGAAAUCCCGCAGCUUAACUGCGGAACUGCAUUGGAAACUAUUUGACUAGAGGAAUGGAGGGGAGACUGGAAUACUUGGUGUAGCAGUGAAAUGCGUAGAUAUCAAGUGGAACACCAGUGGCGAAGGCGAGUCUCUGGACACUUCCUGACGCUGAGGCACGAAAGCCAGGGGAGCAAACGGG